AGGAAUUAUCAAGUCGAGAUGCUUCCCCAAAACACGGGAAACCUAUUCAGGAUUCCCUAAUUGAAGAUGAAGGGGAGGAGGAAUUACAAUGUUUAGAUGCUUCCCCAAAAGACAGGGAACUUAUUCAGGACUCCCAAACCGAAGCUAAAGGGGAUGAAGAGAAACAAUCAAGUGGAGAUGCUCUUCCAAAAGACAGGGAACCCAUUGAGG
Long non-coding RNA from Arabidopsis lyrata subsp. lyrata, 210 nucleotides. RefSeq lists it as uncharacterized. The transcript is spliced from 5 exons. The record is from RefSeq and is a predicted model, not a curated record. NCBI's taxonomy places the organism in Eukaryota, Viridiplantae, Streptophyta, Magnoliopsida, Brassicales, Brassicaceae.